Cyprinus carpio (common carp) is the source of this 935-nucleotide long non-coding RNA. The record is from Ensembl. Lineage: Eukaryota; Metazoa; Chordata; Actinopteri; Cypriniformes; Cyprinidae.
AUGAAUAUAAGCGGUAGGAGAAGAGACUGGAGAUGUGAACUGUCCCUCUGGAACGGGCUGCCAUUAAGUUUACUAAAAAUGUCUGAUGGUUUCACCCAGACAGUUAGGAGAGCUGUGUCUAAACGGGAUCCAGAUCUCUGCUUACUAAUUCCUGUGAUCCACCUGCUCUGAAGGCCAGUCGUUGUGGCCGAGUGUUCUGCACUACAGAUGGCGCUGGAUGAGGGAAGCUGGGUCAUGCUGAAGGACUGACCACAGUGCUUCAUCAUACCGAGAGAAAGUGACCCCAAAGGUCACAGCACACACACAGGCUUAAUUUUAGAGCAAUUAAUCUCCUCUCAAGAGAGUUUUAUGUGUGAGCAUGUGUGUGGGUGUGUCGCUGUGCUGUAGUUAGAGCCGGCCGUCAGCUGUCCGGCCAAGGUGGAGGCCCAACCAUCUUAUCGUCCAGGAGAAGCUUAAUAUGAGGAGAUUAGAUGGCACGGAGGAGAUUACUGCUUGGCCUUUAAUGCAUCGUUCUCUUACCUAACAGGAACCUGAUCUAAAUCCACCACAGGGUAACAAGGCCAUCACUCUGUCCAACAUACACAAGAGGACAUGUAACGUACACACACAUAGAUACACAACAGAUGAUGAGUGGGUGGCAAAAAAACAAACAAAAAAAAGCUCAGAUGAAACAGCAAUGGAAAUGAAAGAGGUGGAGCUUUCAGUGAGAGAGAGUGAAAGAGUGAGGUGGGAUGGAAGAGGUGUUCCCCAUAUAAAAGCCUCUUCACUGGUUUGGAAAAUUAGCUGGGCCCUGUGGUCUACUGGAGCCUUUUAUUUAUUGAUGUAAAGAAAGAUAACCACGCCACCUUCCGUAUUCGCUCCAUUUGCAUGAGUGAGGGAAGAUUAGGAGUGAAAAUCAAACCAAAUAAAUAAAUCCCUCUUUUUCCCUCUCUUCA